Molecule: ribosomal RNA, 784 nt
Filed under: uncultured organism
Description: bacterial SSU rRNA
Rfam family: Bacterial small subunit ribosomal RNA
Source: RNAcentral
UCACUGGGUUUAAAGGGUGCGUAGGUGGAACGAUAAGUCGAUGGUGAAAGCCUACAGCUUAACUGUAGAAUUGCCAUUGAUACUGUUGUUCUUGGGUAUAGUCGGGGGAAGUGGAAUGCGUAAUGUAGCGGUGAAAUGCAUAGAUAUUACGCAGAACACCGAUCGCGAAAGCAGCUUCCUAGGCUAUUACUGACACUGAGGCACGAAAGCGUGGGGAGCGAACAGGAUUAGAUACCCUGGUAGUCCACGCCGUAAACGAUGCUCACUCGCUGUUGGCGAUAUAUUGUCAGCAGUUAAGCUAAAGCAUUAAGUGAGCCACCUGGGAAGUACGUCCGCAAGGAUGAAACUCAAAGGAAUUGACGGGGGCCCGCACAACCGGUGGAACAUGUGGUUCAAUUCGAUGAUACGCGAGGAACCUUACCUGGGCUUAAAUGUAGUUUGACUUCCGCCGAAAGGCGAUUUUCCUUCGGGACAAAUUACAAGGUGCUGCACGGCUGUCGUCAGCUCGUGCCGUGAGGUAUCGGGUUAAGUCCCUUAACGAGCGCAACCCCUAUUGUUAGUUACCAACAGGUUAAGCUGGGGACUCUAGCAAAACUGCCAGCGUAAGCUGGAGGAAGGUGGGGAUGACGUCAAGUCAGCAUGGCCCUUAUGUCCAGGGCUACACACGUGUUACAAUGGCCGAUACAAAGGGCAGCCACCACGCGAGUGGGAGCUAAUCCUUAAAAUCGGUCUCAGUUCGGAUCGAAGUCUGCAAUUCGACUUCGUGAAGGUGGAAUCGGUAGUA